AGAGUUUGAUCCUGGCUCAGGACGAACGCUGGCGGCGCGCCUUACGCAUGCAAGUCGAACGGUCCUUCGGGACAGUGGCGGACGGCUGAGUAACGCGUAGGUAACCUGUCCAAUGGUGGGGGAUAACACUUCGAAAGAAGUGCUAAUACCGCAUGUGAUCGGUUGGUGAAACUCCGGCCGAGGAAAGCCGCAAGGCGCCAAUGGAGGGGCCUGCGUCCUAUCACGGUAGUUGGUGGGGUAACGGCCUACCAAGCCUGUGACGGGUAGCUGGUCUGAGAGGACGACCAGCCAGAAGGGGACUGAGACACGGCCCCUACUCCUACGGGUGACGGUACCUCACGAAUAAGCCACGACUA
This 356-nucleotide ribosomal RNA is filed under the name uncultured bacterium. Its description in RNAcentral is "bacterial SSU rRNA". It matches the Rfam family "Bacterial small subunit ribosomal RNA", at positions 8 to 374 of the family's 1533-position model. The record is from RNAcentral.